CCAGAGGGUCGGGCGGCCGCGGCGCGUGAGGCGUCGAGGAAAGUCCGGGCUCCACGGAGAGACGGUGCCGGGUAACGCCCGGCGGGGGCGACCCCAGGGACAGUGCCACAGAGAGCAGACCGCCGCUCCCCGGAGCGGUGAGGGUGAAAGGGUGCGGUAAGAGCGCACCGCGCGGCCGGCAACGGGCGCGGCACGGCAAACCCCACCGGGAGCAAGACCGAAUAGGGGCGGCACGGCCCAGGAAACUGGUGCCAGGGCUUCUCCGGCCCGCUGCCCGGGUUGGUUGCUGGAGCCGGCGCGCGAGCGCCGGCCAAGAGGAAUGGUCGCCCAGCCCUUAACGGGGCGGACAGAACCCGGCUUACAGACCCUCUGGCGCC
RNAcentral lists this RNase P RNA (377 nucleotides) under Proteobacteria bacterium SG_bin5. Its description in RNAcentral is "RNase P RNA component class A". It matches the Rfam family "Bacterial RNase P class A". Rfam says of the family: Ribonuclease P (RNase P) is a ubiquitous endoribonuclease, found in archaea, bacteria and eukarya as well as chloroplasts and mitochondria. Its best characterised activity is the generation of mature 5'-ends of tRNAs by cleaving the 5'-leader elements of precursor-tRNAs. The record is from RNAcentral. Lineage: Bacteria; Pseudomonadati; Pseudomonadota.